RNAcentral lists this ribosomal RNA (497 nucleotides) under uncultured bacterium. Its description in RNAcentral is "partial 16S ribosomal RNA". It matches the Rfam family "Bacterial small subunit ribosomal RNA", at positions 28 to 507 of the family's 1533-position model. The record is from RNAcentral.
GAUGAACGCUGGCGGCGUGCCUAAUACAUGCAAGUCGAGCGAACAGACGAGGAGCUUGCUCCUCUGACGUUAGCGGCGGACGGGUGAGUAACACGUGGAUAACCUACCUAUAAGACUGGGAUAACUUCGGGAAACCGGAGCUAAUACCGGAUAAUAUAUUGAACCGCAUGGUUCAAUAGUGAAAGACGGUUUUGCUGUCACUUAUAGAUGGAUCCGCGCCGCAUUAGCUAGUUGGUAAGGUAACGGCUUACCAAGGCAACGAUGCGUAGCCGACCUGAGAGGGUGAUCGGCCACACUGGAACUGAGACACGGUCCAGACUCCUACGGGAGGCAGCGGUAGGGAAUCUUCCGCAAUGGGCGAAAGCCUGACGGAGCAACGCCGCGUGAGUGAUGAAAGUCUUCGGAUCGUAAAACUCUGUUAUUAGGGAAGAACAAAUGUGUAAGUAACUAUGCACGUCUUGACGGUACCUAAUCAGAAAGCCACGGCUAACUACGUG